GCCUGGGUGGCUCAGUCGGUUGAGCAUCUGACUUCGGCUCAGGUCAUGAUCUCACAGUUCAUGGGUUCGAGCCCCUUGUAGGGCU
Molecule: transfer RNA, 85 nt
Filed under: Felis catus (domestic cat)
Lineage: Eukaryota; Metazoa; Chordata; Mammalia; Carnivora; Felidae
Rfam family: tRNA
About the family: Transfer RNA (tRNA) molecules are approximately 80 nucleotides in length.
Source: Rfam by way of RNAcentral